CCAGAUGGCCGGAUGGCCGCUGUUUGCGCCGCAAGGCGUGAAUGGAGGAAAGUCCGGGCUCCAGCGAAACAGGAUGCCGGGUAACGCCCGGCGGGGGCAACCCCAGAGACAGUGCCACAGAAAACAGACCGCCCUGCAAAGCCUCCGGGCGAAGCAGGGCAAGGGUGAAAAGGUGCGGCAAGAGCGCACCGCGCCUCUGGCAACAGGGGUGGCAUGGCAAACCUCAUCCGGAGCAAGACCGAAUAGGGGCGGCUGCCCUGCGGCAACGCAAGGGACAGCGGGUUUCCACGCCGCCGCCCGGGUUGGUCGCGUGAGGCAUCCGGCAACGGGUGUCCCAGAGGAAUGGUCAUCCAUCGCAGCAAUGCGGGGACAGAACCCGGCUUACAGGCCGUCUGGCUUU
RNAcentral lists this RNase P RNA (400 nucleotides) under Pseudomonadota bacterium. RNAcentral describes it as "RNase P RNA component class A". It matches the Rfam family "Bacterial RNase P class A". Rfam says of the family: Ribonuclease P (RNase P) is a ubiquitous endoribonuclease, found in archaea, bacteria and eukarya as well as chloroplasts and mitochondria. Its best characterised activity is the generation of mature 5'-ends of tRNAs by cleaving the 5'-leader elements of precursor-tRNAs. Lineage: Bacteria; Pseudomonadati; Pseudomonadota. The record is from RNAcentral.